CACUUUAUGUUGCUUAUUUAAUCAAACGAUAAGGAAGUCAGUGAUGUGCGUAAUUCAUUUUGACUAAAACAUGCAAGUCUGGAUACUGGCAACAUGUAUUGCUUUCAAUAUUAUCAUCAGUCCGUCAAUUGCUUUAGAUUAUACUGAAGGUUCAAGACUUGUUUACAAAAGAAAUCCAGCUCCUGAUGGACACAGAUGUGGUGUAUGUCCAACGUAUUUCCAGAAAAUCUGCGCUUUCAAUUAUAGAACCAACGCAACGUUUAUUUUUGAUAACCACUGCGUUAUGGACCUAUACAACUGUAUCCAAGGAACGGAAUUCGUUCCGCUAAAGUAUGAACAUUGCUUAUACUUCGGAAACUUCGCAUACGUCCACGGGUAUAAAUAUGAAGACAUAGAUUAUGGAGAAGAUCACAUAAUAGUGAAAAAUACGCAGAAGAAUCAAGAUUUUGUCAGAUAACUGUUAUAUGCACAAUAUAAUAAAAAAGUAUUAAUUUAAA
Long non-coding RNA from Ostrinia nubilalis (European corn borer), 497 nucleotides. RefSeq lists it as uncharacterized. Lineage: Eukaryota; Metazoa; Arthropoda; Insecta; Lepidoptera; Crambidae. The transcript has 4 exons. The record is from RefSeq and is a predicted model, not a curated record.